AAGAGCGAGAGAGAGAAGAUGAUGAAAACGUCAAUGGCCGUCCCUACCCUAUUCCAGAAUCAGGAAAAAAGAAAAGAGCGAGAGAGAGAAGAUGAUGAAAACGUCAAUGGCUUCCCUAAGGUCAUUCUCCGCGAGGUUCGUGGUUGCUCCGCUGAGGUCUAUUGUUCAGUUAAGGUUUGUCGGAACCACAAGCAAAGAGAGAUAGGCCGUAUCCCCGUAACCGAAGCUAAGAGAAAGUAAGGACCUACAAUCAAGGAUGUUGGGAAAGGGUGAAUGGGAAAAGGAGCUACCUUUGUUGGGUUUCUUGGUUCAAUAAGAAAAAGGAGGAAGCUUUAUACGUUUUUGGUCGUGCUUUCCUUGGGUUUCUUUGAGAGGUUGGUUUGAUUGUUGUGGAGAGUUGUUGGUGGUCUUUUUGGGUUAGGAAAGGAUUCUGUUUAUGGAGUUAUAGAGGGCUGGAACAGUGGUACUUUUUGUAUUUGUUAUGUUACUUUUUUUCUUUUCUAUCUCAUUUGUCUAUAUUGAAUUGUGCUUAAGAACAGCCAAUGCUAUUGCCCAUUGUACCUAGAUAUAUAAAUUACUUUGUUAUAUACUACAGAAUAUGAGUAGCAAGAUAGAGUUACAAAAAAUUGCCCCCUUUUGUAAAAUAUGUUACUAUCUAAUUUUAUAAAUAACAUUUUUCUACCA
Long non-coding RNA from Quercus robur (English oak), 684 nucleotides. RefSeq lists it as uncharacterized. NCBI's taxonomy places the organism in Eukaryota, Viridiplantae, Streptophyta, Magnoliopsida, Fagales, Fagaceae. The transcript is spliced from 4 exons. The record is from RefSeq and is a predicted model, not a curated record.